Molecule: ribosomal RNA, 1071 nt
Filed under: Triticum aestivum (bread wheat)
Lineage: Eukaryota; Viridiplantae; Streptophyta; Magnoliopsida; Poales; Poaceae
Description: partial small subunit ribosomal RNA
Source: RNAcentral
AUGGAGCAGCUUAACUUGGAUGACGAAGAGUUUGAUGAUCUGGUAAUUGAAGAGGAUGAUCCCGUAAUCAAUGAAGGUGUCCGCUGGUUAGCCCUAGCUAGGGUUCAUACGGAUAAAACUUUCAGCCCGACGGCGUUCUACAGAGAGAUGCGGGCGGCCUGGAACCCGGCGAAACAGGUGAGGUUCAGUCCCGUCGGACUGAACUUGUUUAUCGUUCAGGCGGAGUGCCUUGGAGAUUGGGAGCGGAUGAUAGAUCUGGGCCCAUGGCUUUUCAGGAAUUGGGUAGUUCUCAUGUGCCCGUAUGACGGAUUUACUAAAGCAGAAGAAGUCCCUAUGUUAUUCAUGUCAGUCUGGUUGCAAAUCCACAAGCUGCCAGAGGGAUUCUGUGGGAGGAACAUCGUGGAAUCGCUGCUGAAGAAGUCUGGAGAGAUCAUGGAUAUGAGGCUGAACGGAAAUACCCGGGGUGACUAUGUGAGGGUUAGGGUUCGUCAUGACAUACGUCGUCCCCUUACAAAAUUCGUGAGUAUUGUCAGAGGAGAAGCAAGGCAGGUUUACCUGGUUCGUUAUGAGAAACUUGCCCACUUCUGCAGUGUCUGUGGAUUGAUUGGGCAUGACUUGAAGGAAUGUGGAACCGGGGUUCAUGAUGUGAAAGACAUGAAGUUCGGGAAUUGGCUGUAUGCAGAUGGUCCGAAUAGAGGAAGAACAGAUGAGGUUGAUCGUGGUAACGAUAAGCAGAAGCAACAGCAGCGCACCCCAGCAAAAGAAAAAGUUGGGAAGAUAGUUACUGACCCGGACUUGGCUGAUACGGCAUCUAGCCUGGUGAAGACUAGUACCAGAGAUAUGCAGGUCAAUCCACCGGCUCGUAAAAGGCUAGCUAUGGACUGCGCGGGGCAGGAAUUACCUAGUACAACGGCUGCUACUUUAGCUCUUACCCAAGGGCUAGGAGAAGACGGUGAUGCGCCUUCAUCGCCAAGCAACAGCUCAAAUAGUAAAAAAGCAAGGAUUGACUCCCAAGAGUUUUCGGAUGAUAGAUCGGCGGCCUCCCUAGAGGAGGACCACCGGGCACAAUGA